Neopsephotus bourkii (Bourke's parrot) is the source of this 842-nucleotide long non-coding RNA. RefSeq lists it as uncharacterized. The transcript has 6 exons. The record is from RefSeq and is a predicted model, not a curated record. Lineage: Eukaryota; Metazoa; Chordata; Aves; Psittaciformes; Psittacidae.
AUGAUUGCUGACCAGCUCUGCCUCCAGCCACAUCCUUCCAGCCUACCUCAAGGCUGAGAACCUUUGCUUUGUGAGAAAAUGUCAAAAUCCAGGCAGCCUUGAGAAUCCUGGAGGGGGAGAGGAUCAGGCUUGAUGGCAAAUUUUCCCAGGCAGAAGGAAGACCUUCCUAUCUGAGCUCCAGAUCUGGGAAAUGGCCAUUCAGUAACACAGAGCCUGAGGCUCUUUCCAUCAAUACAUAUUGAUCACUUAACAAAGCCAGUCUUUGAGCUAUGAAAGGCCUUUGAUUAAAAUUUCACUUGGCAGCCUCUUGGAUUAGACAUCUUCAUGAACACUGGAGCCCCACAAUAUGAAAAAGGAAAGGAAAUGAGGAGGCACUAACCUAAAGUAAAACUCCAUACCACAUAGGGAGAUAGCUGAUAUUACCAAUAAAUGCUACUGUGGAUGAGUCAGCUGCAGAGGAGGGGAGCACUGUUCAAGUAACUGUCUGUAGAAAGAAAGGAAAACUCUUUUGAGAUUCACCAAAAAGGAAGAAGGCAGCACUUUAUUUAGCUGUAAAGCAGCAGUUGUGAUCAGAGGUGACAAAAGAAGAUUGGUUUUCUUAAUGCAAGUGAUCCAUUCUGGCACUUGGAGGCUGCUAAGAAUAUCUAGAAAAUAACCCCUCUGUCCCCUCUGAGAAUAUUGCUGUCUGAUGCAACAUUGCAGGCUCCAGGAUGGGAAGAUGAGAACCACUGCACCCUUAACCCUCUUCUACCAAAGCAUGUGAUAGCUGUCAGUGUAUAACUGAAGUAGUGGGGACCUGCCAACUGUGGUGUUCACUGACUGACAUCUGAUUUUCUACUGUG